AAAGGAAUAGCUGGGUCAAAUGGUGGUUCCAUUCUCAAUUUUCUAAGAAAUUUCCAUACCGCUUUCCAGAUUGGUUGCACCAAUUUGCAGUCCCACCAGCAU
Molecule: microRNA precursor, 102 nt
Filed under: Marmota monax (woodchuck)
Lineage: Eukaryota; Metazoa; Chordata; Mammalia; Rodentia; Sciuridae
Source: RNAcentral